Molecule: ribosomal RNA, 36 nt
Filed under: Agaricus arvensis
Lineage: Eukaryota; Fungi; Basidiomycota; Agaricomycetes; Agaricales; Agaricaceae
Also listed under: 13 other names
Description: partial 28S ribosomal RNA
Source: RNAcentral
UGACCUCAAAUCAGGUAGGACUACCCGCUGAACUUA